GCAUGCGGUGCUAUACAUGCAAGUCGAGCGGACAGAUGGGAGCUUGCUCCCUGAUGUUAGCGGCGGACGGGUGAGUAACACGUGGGUAACCUGCCUGUAAGACUGGGAUAACUCCGGGAAACCGGGGCUAAUACCGGAUGGUUGUUUGAACCGCAUGGUUCAGACAUAAAAGGUGGCUUCGGCUACCACUUACAGAUGGACCCGCGGCGCAUUAGCUAGUUGGUGAGGUAACGGCUCACCAAGGCAACGAUGCGUAGCCGACCUGAGAGGGUGAUCGGCCACACUGGGACUGAGACACGGCCCAGACUCCUACGGGAGGCAGCAGUAGGGAAUCUUCCGCAAUGGACGAAAGUCUGACGGAGCAACGCCGCGUGAGUGAUGAAGGUUUUCGGAUCGUAAAGCUCUGUUGUUAGGGAAGAACAAGUGCCGUUCAAAUAGGGCGGCACCUUGACGGUACCUAACCAGAAAGCCACGGCUAACUACGUGCCAGCAGCCGCGGUAAUACGUAGGUGGCAAGCGUUGUCCGGAAUUAUUGGGCGUAAAGGGCUCGCAGGCGGUUUCUUAAGUCUGAUGUGAAAGCCCCCGGCUCAACCGGGGAGGGUCAUUGGAAACUGGGGAACUUGAGUGCAGAAGAGGAGAGUGGAAUUCCACGUGUAGCGGUGAAAUGCGUAGAGAUGUGGAGGAACACCAGUGGCGAAGGCGACUCUCUGGUCUGUAACUGACGCUGAGGAGCGAAAGCCUGGGGAGCGAACACGAUUAGAUACUCUGGUAGUCCACGCCGUCGACUAUGAGUGCUGAGUGUUACCGGGUUUCUGCCCCUUACUGCUGCAGCGACGCAUUCCACACUCCUUCUGGGGAGUAAAGUCGCGACGACUGCAACUGAAA
This 885-nucleotide ribosomal RNA is filed under the name Bacillus subtilis. RNAcentral's name for it is "bacterial SSU rRNA". It matches the Rfam family "Bacterial small subunit ribosomal RNA", at positions 42 to 905 of the family's 1533-position model. Lineage: Bacteria; Bacillati; Bacillota; Bacilli; Caryophanales; Bacillaceae. The record is from RNAcentral.